GAUGAACGCUAGCGGCAGGCUUAACACAUGCAAGUCGAGGGGCAGCGCGAUGUAGCAAUACAUUGGCGGCGACCGGCGCACGGGUGCGUAACACGUAUGCAACCUUCCCGCCACUGGGGGAUAGCCCGGAGAAAUCCGGAUCAAUACCCCAUAAUUCCCUGGGAGGCAUCUCCUGGGGCUGAAAACUCCGGUGGUGGCGGAUGGGCAUGCGCACGAUAGCUAGUUGGUGAGGUAACGGCUCACCAAGGCUACGAUCGUUAGGGGGCCUGAGAGGGUUAUCCCCCACACUGGUACUGAGACACGGACCAGACUCCUACGGAGGCAGCAGUGAGAAUAUUGCGCAAUGGAGGCAACUCUGACGCAGCCAUGCCGCGUGCAGGAAGAA
Molecule: ribosomal RNA, 385 nt
Filed under: uncultured bacterium
Lineage: Bacteria
Description: bacterial SSU rRNA
Rfam family: Bacterial small subunit ribosomal RNA
Source: RNAcentral